GAGAAGAACCAACAGGGAUUGCCCUAGUAACGGCGAGUGAAGCGGCAACAGCUCAAAUUUGAAAUCUGGCUUCGGCCCGAGUUGUAAUUUGCAGAGGAUGUUUCUGGCGCGGUGCCUUCCGAGUUCCCUGGAACGGGACGCCAUAGAGGGUGAGAGCCCCGUAUGGUUGGAUACUAAGCCUGUGUGAAACUCCUUCGACGAGUCGAGUAGUUUGGGAAUGCUGCUCAAAAUGGGAGGUAAAUCUCUUCUAAAGCUAAAUAUUGGCCAGAGACCGAUAGCGCACAAGUAGAGUGAUCGAAAGAUGAAAAGCACCUUGAAAAGGGGGUUAAACAGUACGUGAAAUUGUUGAAAGGGAAGCGCUCAUGACCAGACUUGUGCUGGGCAGCUCAUCCGGGGUUCUCCCCGGUGCACUCUGCCCAGUUCAGGCCAGCAUCGAUUUUUGCUGGGGGAUAAGAACGGUAGGAACGUGGCCCUCCUUCGGGAGGGUGUUAUAGCCUGCCGUACGAUACCCUGGCGGAGAUCGAGGUUCGCGCAUCUGCAAGGAUGCUGGCGUAAUGGUCAUCAGCGACCCGUCUUGAAACACGGACCAAGGAGUCGUCCAUUAGAGCGAGCGUUUGGGUGUAAAACCCGCACGCGUAAUGAAAGUGAAAUUAGGUGAGAGCUUCGGCGCAUCAUCGACCGAUCCUGAUGUUCUCGGAAGGAUUUGAGUAAGAGUUUUAACGGACGGACCCGAAAGACAGUGAACUAUGCUUGUAUAGGGUGAAGCCAGAGGAAACUCUGGUGGAGGCUCGCAGCGGUUCUGACGUGCAAAUCGAUCGUCAAAUAUGAGCAUGGGGGCGAAAGACUAAUCGAACUGUCUAGUAGCUGGUUACCGCCAAGUUCCCC
This 885-nucleotide ribosomal RNA is filed under the name Coniella sp. RNAcentral's name for it is "partial large subunit ribosomal RNA". It matches the Rfam family "Eukaryotic large subunit ribosomal RNA", at positions 56 to 972 of the family's 3401-position model. Lineage: Eukaryota; Fungi; Ascomycota; Sordariomycetes; Diaporthales; Schizoparmaceae. The record is from RNAcentral.